AUAAUAACAAUCAAAAUAUAUAACAUAUCGACAUGCUUUGACCAUGUGCAUACAUAAACACAUACACAUAUACUAAAGAAAUUAAAAAAGGAAAAUUAAAAGAGAAAAUGAAUGAAUGAAUGAAUGUUUGGGGUGCAUUUUAAUUAUAUAUACUCAAAUUGCAUACGCAUACUCAUAAUAUAAUAUUUAAUUCUUCACAGAUGUUGAAUGAUAACUGCUUUUCACGUCCAGAGAAGGGCUUUUAUUUUGACACUUCGGAUGGCGCGUGUAUCAGAAUGUCCGUGGUUUCCGGGUAGGCCGCUCCUGAAAAAGUUUUGAACAGAAAUGAUUUUUAAUUUCUGAGAAAAGAAACUGAAACAGAUCUGAUCGAUCACAGCAGCGCGCAGAUGUCCGAGCAGGGAUCAUUUUGGGUACAGUACUGGCUGACAGUGGCGGUAAAGGAUAAAGACUGGAACCGGAGGAGACUGUAACGAGACACGCGCCGACGGGUCUCCCAGCGGACAGACGUGUGGACCAGUGUAAAUGUUUGCGGGACGGUUUUAGAGAAAGUCUAUUUUAUUAUUCUUUGCUUUCCAUGAAGCGCACUGUAUCACCAUUAUUACUGUGUUCAUUGUGAUGUCUUUAACUGGAAAAGCAUGAUUCAAAGUCAAAUAUAUUUUACAGGAUAAUCAUGGUGCACUUUUAUUUUGGAUUAAGAAUCACAAGACUGAAGUGUGUCUGCAUGGCUGCUAACAGAUCGCAUAAAAAAGAGUACAUGCACUUUACAAAAUGCGUCAUACAGUGUCAGAAACUUAUAGCCUAUUAGAGAUUACUUAAAGGGAAA
Molecule: long non-coding RNA, 823 nt
Organism: Colossoma macropomum (tambaqui)
Lineage: Eukaryota; Metazoa; Chordata; Actinopteri; Characiformes; Serrasalmidae
Exons: 2
Source: RefSeq, a predicted model, not a curated record